GAUGAACGCUGGCGGCGUGCCUAAUACAUGCAAGUCGAGCGAACGGACGAGAAGCUUGCUUCUCUGAUGUUAGCGGCGGACGGGUGAGUAACACGUGGAUAACCUACCUAUAAGACUGGGAUAACUUCGGGAAACCGGAGCUAAUACCGGAUAAUAUUUUGAACCGCAUGGUUCAAAAGUGAAAGACGGUCUUGCUGUCACUUAUAGAUGGAUCCGCGCUGCAUUAGCUAGUUGGUAAGGUAACGGCUUACCAAGGCAACGAUGCAUAGCCGACCUGAGAGGGUGAUCGGCCACACUGGAACUGAGACACGGUCCAGACUCCUACGGGAGGCAGCAGUAGGGAAUCUUCCGCAAUGGGUGAAAGCCUGACGGAGCAACGCCGCGUGAGUGAUGAAGGUCUUCGGAUCGUAAAACUCUGUUAUUAGGGAAGAACAUAUGUGUAAGUAACUGUGCACAUCUUGACGGUACCUAAUCAGAAAGCCACGGCUAACUACGUGCCAGCAGCCGCGGUAAUACGUAGGUGGCAAGCGUUAUCCGGAAUUAUUGGGCGUAAAGCGCGCGUAGGCGGUUUUUUAAGUCUGAUGUGAAAGCCCACGGCUCAACCGUGGAGGGUCAUUGGAAACUGGAAAACUUGAGUGCAGAAGAGGAAAGUGGAAUUCCAUGUGUAGCGGUGAAAUGCGCAGAGAUAUGGAGGAACACCAGUGGCGAAGGCGACUUUCUGGUCUGUAACUGACGCUGAUGUGCGAAAGCGUGGGGAUCAAACAGGAUUAGAUACCCUGGUAGUCCACGCCGUAAACGAUGAGUGCUAAGUGUUAGGGGGUUUCCGCCCCUUAGUGCUGCAGCUAACGCAUUAAGCACUCCGCCUGGGGAGUACGACCGCAAGGUUGAAACUCAAAGGAAUUGACGGGGACCCGCACAAGCGGUGGAGCAUGUGGUUUAAUCCGAAGCAACGCGAAGAACCUUACCAAAUCUUGACAUCCUUUGACAACUCUAGAGAUAGAGCCUUCCCCUUCGGGGGACAAAGUGACAGGUGGUGCAUGGUUGUCGUCAGCUCGUGUCGUGAGAUGUUGGGUUAAGUCCCGCAACGAGCGCAACCCUUAAGCUUAGUUGCCAUCAUUAAGUUGGGCACUCUAAGUUGACUGCCGGUGACAAACCGGAGGAAGGUGGGGAUGACGUCAAAUCAUCAUGCCCCUUAUGAUUUGGGCUACACACGUGCUACAAUGGACAAUACAAAGGGCAGCGAAACCGCGAGGUCAAGCAAAUCCCAUAAAGUUGUUCUCAGUUCGGAUUGUAGUCUGCAACUCGACUACAUGAAGCUGGAAUCGCUAGUAAUCGUAGAUCAGCAUGCUACGGUGAAUACGUUCCCGGGUCU
RNAcentral lists this ribosomal RNA (1372 nucleotides) under uncultured bacterium. Its description in RNAcentral is "bacterial SSU rRNA". It matches the Rfam family "Bacterial small subunit ribosomal RNA", at positions 28 to 1381 of the family's 1533-position model. The record is from RNAcentral.